GAGCCUGUCUUAUGAGGUGAGAUGUAGAUGGAGUGUUUGCUGGACAGAAGCAUCCGACGAGGAGAGCCCGUCCUCAGGGUGGGGUACGGACACAGAGGAGGGGACUCCACCUGCACACACAAACGACAGCGAGCCUUUCCUCAGAGGACUGCCGGACUGUUUGCCAGUUGUUUUGGUGACGGCUGAUUGGACGCCGAGCGUGCCGCUCAGAGUCUGUGCGGACAGCGGCUGCAACAUGGCUCCGCCCUGUCCGGUCACACUCACCUGGAACGGGAUGAAGGUGAUGCCUCCGCUCUCAUUGGCUAUACCUGCAGAGGUCAGAGAUGCUGAGGAGGCAUCACCUGAAACGCACACACGGGGACCACAGUCACGAGCUGAGCACCGCGAGCCUGCUUCUUCAGCAACAGGAAGAGCUGAAGCUUGUGUUGUCUUCAGUGCACACUGAGUAGACCUGAAUGACCUGCUGGCAGGUGGGGACGUGGUCUUUGGUCCCACGGAGGCUCUCCCACAGGGGGGAGUCACUGGUCCAGGCCAGGGUCUCCAAGACCUGCUCCUCCACCUGGUUCAGGCUGGCAGAGCAGAUCUGGAGGUGGAGGUGGAGGCGGGGGGAGCAGAGGAAACACCGGGUGUCAACAGGAAGGGAGAUAUUUUAUGGACCAAACAACUAAUGGCUUCUAAUGGACAACGCAGCAGUACUACACAGACGGUGUACAUGGACUUUAGGAAGGUGUCGCCAUCCGGCAGCCCCAGAGGAGGGACGUUAAGGCCCUGCAGAUCACC
Molecule: long non-coding RNA, 780 nt
Organism: Scatophagus argus
Lineage: Eukaryota; Metazoa; Chordata; Actinopteri; Scatophagidae
Exons: 6
Source: RefSeq, a predicted model, not a curated record